Molecule: ribosomal RNA, 2462 nt
Filed under: Escherichia coli
Lineage: Bacteria; Pseudomonadati; Pseudomonadota; Gammaproteobacteria; Enterobacterales; Enterobacteriaceae
Description: partial 23S ribosomal RNA
Rfam family: Bacterial large subunit ribosomal RNA
Source: RNAcentral
ACCGAUAGUGAACCAGUACCGUGAGGGAAAGGCGAAAAGAACCCCGGCGAGGGGAGUGAAAAAGAACCUGAAACCGUGUACGUACAAGCAGUGGGAGCCUCUUAAUGGGGUGACUGCGUACCUUUUGUAUAAUGGGUCAGCGACUUAUAUUCUGUAGCAAGGUUAACCGAAUAGGGGAGCCGAAGGGAAACCGAGUCUUAACUGGGCGUUAAGUUGCAGGGUAUAGACCCGAAACCCGGUGAUCUAGCCAUGGGCAGGUUGAAGGUUGGGUAACACUAACUGGAGGACCGAACCGACUAAUGUUGAAAAAUUAGCGGAUGACUUGUGGCUGGGGGUGAAAGGCCAAUCAAACCGGGAGAUAGCUGGUUCUCCCCGAAAGCUAUUUAGGUAGCGCCUCGUGAAUUCAUCUCCGGGGGUAGAGCACUGUUUCGGCAAGGGGGUCAUCCCGACUUACCAACCCGAUGCAAACUGCGAAUACCGGAGAAUGUUAUCACGGGAGACACACGGCGGGUGCUAACGUCCGUCGUGAAGAGGGAAACAACCCAGACCGCCAGCUAAGGUCCCAAAGUCAUGGUUAAGUGGGAAACGAUGUGGGAAGGCCCAGACAGCCAGGAUGUUGGCUUAGAAGCAGCCAUCAUUUAAAGAAAGCGUAAUAGCUCACUGGUCGAGUCGGCCUGCGCGGAAGAUGUAACGGGGCUAAACCAUGCACCGAAGCUGCGGCAGCGACACUAUGUGUUGUUGGGUAGGGGAGCGUUCUGUAAGCCUGUGAAGGUGUACUGUGAGGUAUGCUGGAGGUAUCAGAAGUGCGAAUGCUGACAUAAGUAACGAUAAAGCGGGUGAAAAGCCCGCUCGCCGGAAGACCAAGGGUUCCUGUCCAACGUUAAUCGGGGCAGGGUGAGUCGACCCCUAAGGCGAGGCCGAAAGGCGUAGUCGAUGGGAAACAGGUUAAUAUUCCUGUACUUGGUGUUACUGCGAAGGGGGGACGGAGAAGGCUAUGUUGGCCGGGCGACGGUUGUCCCGGUUUAAGCGUGUAGGCUGGUUUUCCAGGCAAAUCCGGAAAAUCAAGGCUGAGGCGUGAUGACGAGGCACUACGGUGCUGAAGCGACAAAUGCCCUGCUUCCAGGAAAAGCCUCUAAGCAUCAGGUAACAUCAAAUCGUACCCCAAACCGACACAGGUGGUCAGGUAGAGAAUACCAAGGCGCUUGAGAGAACUCGGGUGAAGGAACUAGGCAAAAUGGUGCCGUAACUUCGGGAGAAGGCACGCUGAUAUGUAGGUGAAGCGACUUGCUCGUGGAGCUGAAAUCAGUCGAAGAUACCAGCUGGCUGCAACUGUUUAUUAAAAACACAGCACUGUGCAAACACGAAAGUGGACGUAUACGGUGUGACGCCUGCCCGGUGCCGGAAGGUUAAUUGAUGGGGUUAGCGGUAACGCGAAGCUCUUGAUCGAAGCCCCGGUAAACGGCGGCCGUAACUAUAACGGUCCUAAGGUAGCGAAAUUCCUUGUCGGGUAAGUUCCGACCUGCACGAAUGGCGUAAUGAUGGCCAGGCUGUCUCCACCCGAGACUCAGUGAAAUUGAACUCGCUGUGAAGAUGCAGUGUACCCGCGGCAAGACGGAAAGACCCCGUGAACCUUUACUAUAGCUUGACACUGAACAUUGAGCCUUGAUGUGUAGGAUAGGUGGGAGGCUUUGAAGUGUGGACGCCAGUCUGCAUGGAGCCGACCUUGAAAUACCACCCUUUAAUGUUUGAUGUUCUAACGUGGGCCCCUUACCGGGGUUGCGGACAGUGUCUGGUGGGUAGUUUGACUGGGGCGGUCUCCUCCUAAAGAGUAACGGAGGAGCACGAAGGUUGGCUAAUCCUGGUCGGACAUCAGGAGGUUAGUGCAAUGGCAUAAGCCAGCUUGACUGCGAGCGUGACGGCGCGAGCAGGUGCGAAAGCAGGUCAUAGUGAUCCGGUGGUUCUGAAUGGAAGGGCCAUCGCUCAACGGAUAAAAGGUACUCCGGGGAUAACAGGCUGAUACCGCCCAAGAGUUCAUAUCGACGGCGGUGUUUGGCACCUCGAUGUCGGCUCAUCACAUCCUGGGGCUGAAGUAGGUCCCAAGGGUAUGGCUGUUCGCCAUUUAAAGUGGUACGCGAGCUGGGUUUAGAACGUCGUGAGACAGUUCGGUCCCUAUCUGCCGUGGGCGCUGGAGAACUGAGGGGGGCUGCUCCUAGUACGAGAGGACCGGAGUGGACGCAUCACUGGUGUUCGGGUUGUCAUGCCAAUGGCACUGCCCGGUAGCUAAAUGCGGAAGAGAUAAGUGCUGAAAGCAUCUAAGCACGAAACUUGCCCCGAGAUGAGUUCUCCCUGACUCCUUGAGAGUCCUGAAGGAACGUUGAAGACGACGACGUUGAUAGGCCGGGUGUGUAAGCGCAGCGAUGCGUUGAGCUAACCGGUACUAAUGAACCGUGAGGCUUAACCUU